Molecule: long non-coding RNA, 5183 nt
Filed under: Marmota monax (woodchuck)
Lineage: Eukaryota; Metazoa; Chordata; Mammalia; Rodentia; Sciuridae
Source: RNAcentral
CUGCUUGUGGAGAAGAGAUAGCAUGCUUGGAGUCACGUGGUUAAGAUUAGUACUAAUUUUGUAUUUGACUUUUGGUUCUAAAUAAAGCAUACAACAGAACAGAAACAAUAAAAAAAUGAUAAAUACAGAUAAAUGCUAUAAUUAUAAGGCAAAGUCUUCCCAGAAGAAGUAAUUAAUUGCAAAGCAAAGUGGUUUGAGUUUUUCCCCUUUCUCUUUAAGUUCCCACAAGAGACUAUAACAUGCUUCAAAACCCUCCGAUGUAUGAGCUUCAGAGAAAAGAAGAAAAAAGGAGAAAAAAAAAUCUCCUGGACAAUGCAGUUCAUAUCAAGCACCUAGGACAAUUUCUGGCACCAAAAAGAUGCUCAGUGGAAAUUGAAUUGCCCCUUUCUGUAAUGAUUGGCAGUGUUUCCUAUGCCCUCCAGUAUCCCUAAACAAAGCAGGUUUGUCAAUUUCGAGGUCUGAGUAAUGCCAAAAAAGACAAAUCUCUCUGCGUGGGAAAAAAGUCAUGGCCUUCAUUUGCAAGUAAUUUGUAAUGAAUUCUCUAAAAACAUAUGCUUUUAAGGAUUUGAGCUGAUUUUAAAUUGUGAAGUGGUUAAACCUCUCAAAGCUGUCUUUUCUUCAUUGUUUGAAAGAUGAUUGUGGACUGAAUGAUAAUGAGUGUCAUUGAAAACCAAAUACAUGAGGGAACUCAGGGAAACCACACUUAUAUGAGAAAAUCAGCAUCUAGUCCGGGGCGCACACAGGCUACUCUGUAAGGUGUUCAGUCGCCGAUUCCACACGAGUUGACCAACCCACGGGCGCACAGCAGUCUGCACCCAGCACUGGAGGUAGGUGAGUCGAGUAUGAGAUGAAAUGAGUUCAGUUCCCAGUGGAAAGGUAAGACACACACUCUAAGUCACCAGAGUUCUAGUCCAAGGUCAACAGAAGUCCUGUAAUGAGGAUUCACGGUGCAACAUGUGAUUCAGACCAGAGGAGAGGUACGGCAGUAGGUUCUUUGAGUUAGGCAAGGAGGAAGGCUCUGUGGUCUGCAAAAACCAGGGAAGCCUUCCUACAGGAGGUGGGAGCUUGGGCUGAACUCUUGGUAUGUACAGCCCCAGAAAAAAUGUGUGAAAGACAAGAGUGACUAGGGUCAUGAGAGGGAGUCGCUGCUUCACGAUGGGAACAGGCAGAAAUGUGUUCUGCCCUUAGGACACCCUCCCCCCAUUGCUUAGUGUUCUCAUGCUAUGGUUUGAUAAAAAUGGUAGCUAGGACCCCGACUUCUCAGGGAGGAAGGCUUGGAUCACUGCUAACACCGAAACAUCAGCCAAUGCCAAGGGAUGUUCUGAAAGAACGGUAGAGAUGGACAUGGUGAGCGUAACGUAGACUUUAGGACCAGAUGCAAUGUCAGGAAAUUGAUCUAUUGCACCGACUUUCCUUCUGUGAGUUUCCCCUCAGACACUGUGACCUCCCAAAUGGGAGAAACUAUGACAGGCAGAGUGAACUUGAGGUGCCCCACCUGGACUACUUCCGGGCAGCCAUUUCCAACGUCUGCAGGGGUUUCUGGAAUACAUUAGCCCCUCACCUUUGUCUUAGCACCACCUUCAGGGUGGCAUUUAUACCUAGAGCUCCCUGCAACACAGGUCACAUCCUGGGGCACAGUCUUUCUUUCUGCCCCCUGGCCUCCCCUUCUUCCUAUCUGCCCUUCUGGUUUCUCGUAGGUGUGUUUUCUUAGUCCAUUACCUGUAUCUGUGCUUCAGGGUCUGCUUCUGGACCCAGGAGAAAGGGCAUUUAAGGGAAGAGUUAAUGAGGUAUAAAGGGGAGAAUAAGCAUGGAUGGUUUGCAUGAAGUGAUCCAGCUCAUUUAACUAGACAAGGAGUGACUGCAAAAUCCUGGAAGAGAGCUUGGAGACCCAGUUAUUGCAUGGCACUUUUCAGGAAUGUAAAGAUGCUAAAUAGAUUCAUAUUUCUUUCCCACCUGUCAGCUCAGACAGCAUAUUACAGAUUCAACUUCCUAGAUUGAGUCUGUGUUCCAGGGAUGCCUCACACAGUGUAGACCUCAACUCCACCACGUGUAGGGCAGGCAGCCUUGCCCAGUUUCACCUCCAUUUCUCCUCAGCGGUCAGUGGGCCAGGGAACUGCUCUUUGCUAUAAUAACCCAUAGGGGAUUUUUGUUGUUGUUGUUAGUUAAUUAAACAUGACAGUAGAAUGGAUUUUUAAAAAUUCUAAUUUGUUAUGUAUGACAGCAGAAUGCAUUACAAUUCAUAGUACACAUAUAGAGCACACGUUUUCACAUAUCUGGUUGCACACAGAGUAGACUCACACCAUUCGUGUCUUAAAACAUGUACUUAGGGUAAUGAUGUCCAUCUCAUUCCACCGUCUUUCCUACCCCCAUGCCCCUUCCCUUCCCCUCCCUCCCCUUUACUCUAUCUAGAGUUCAUCUAAUCCACCCAUGCUCCUCCCCACUAACCCCAUUAUGAAUCAGCAUCCUUGUAUCAGAAAAAAAAAAACAACAUUCUGCAUUUGUUUUUUUGGAGACUGGCUAACUUCACUUAGCAUUACAUUCUCCAGUCCCAUCCAUUUACCUGCAGAUGCCAUGAUUUUAUUCUCUUUUAAUGCUGAAUAGUAUUCCAUUGUGUAUAUAUACCACAUUUUCAUUAUCCAUUCAUCUACCGAAGGACAUCUAUGUUAGAUCCAAAGUUUAAGUAUUGUGAAUUGUGCUGCUAUAAACAUUGAUGUAGCUAUGUCCCUGUAGUAUGCUGUUCUUAAGUCUUUUGGAUAUAGACAGAGGAGAGGGAUAGCUGGCUCAAAUGGUCGUUCCAUUCCCAGUUUUCCAAGGAAUAUCCAUACUGCUUUCCAUAUUGGCUGCACCAAUUUGCAGUCCCACUAAUAAUGUAGAGGAUGACAUACAAUUAAUCAACAAAUAUAUGAAAAAAAUGUUCAACAUCUCUAGCAAUUAGAGAAAUGCAAAUCAAAAGUACUCUAAGAUUUCAUCUCACUCCAGUCAGAAUGGCAGCUAUUAAGAAUACAAACAACAAUAAGUGUUGACGAGGAAGUAGAAUGGAUUUUGACACAUCAUACACAAAUGGAGUAUAACUUCUCAUUUUUUUCUGACUGUACAUGAUGUAGAAUCACACCACUUGUGUAAUCAUAUGUGUACAUAGGAUAAUAAUGUCUGAUUCAUUUUACUAUCCUUUCUACUCCUAUACCACCCCGUCCCUUCACACCUCUCUGUCUAAUCCAAAGUACCUCUAUUUUUCUCUAGCCCCGCUGCCCACCUUAUUGUGAAAUAUCAUCUACAUAUCAGAGAAAACAUUUGGCCUUUGGUUUUUUUGGGUUGGCUUAUUUAACUUAGGAUAAUAUUCUCCAGCUCCAUCCAUUUACCUGCAAAUGCCAUAAUUUCAUCCCUCUUUAAGGCUGAGUAGUAUUCCAUUGUGUAUACAUACCAACAUAUUCUUUAUCCAUUCAUUUGUUAAAGGGCAUCUAGGUUGGUUCCACAGUUUGGCUCUUUUGAAUUGUGCUGCUAUAAACAUUGAUGUGGCUGCAUUACUAUAGUAUGCUGAUUUUGAGUCCUUUGGGUAUAAAACAAGUUGUGGGAUAGCUGGGUCAAAUGGUGGUUCCAUUCCUAGUUUUCCAAGGAAUCUCCAUACUGCUUUCCAUAUUGGCUGCACCAAUUUGCAGUUCUACCAGCAAUGUAUGAGUGUGCCUUUUUUGCCCACAUCUUCACCAACAUUGUUUGUAUUCUUGAUGAUUGCCAUUCUGACUAGAAUGACAUGGAAUCUCAGUAUAGUUUUGAUUUGCAUUUCUCUAAUGGCUUGAGAUUUUGAACAUUUUUUCAUGUAUCUGCAAUUCUUCUUCUGUGAAAUGCAUGUCCAGAUCUUUAACUCAUUUAUUGAUUGGGUUAUUUGUUUUUUUGGUGUUGAGUUUUUAGAGUUCUUCACAUAACUGGGGGAUUAAUGCUCUAUCUGAUGUGCAUGUGGUAAAGAUUUUUUCCCAUUCUGUAGGCUCUCUCUUCACAUUAUUAAUUGUUUCCUUUGCUGCGAGGAAUCUUUUUAGUUUAAAUCCAUCCCAUUUAUUGAUUCUUGAUUUUAGUUCUUGUGCUUUGGAGGUCUUGUUAAAGAAGUCAUUUCCUAAGCCAACAUGGUGAAGAUUUGGGCCUACUUUUUUCUAUUAGGGAUAGUGUCUCUGUUCAAAGGCCUAAGUCUUUGAUCCACUUGGGUUGACUUUUGUGUAAGGUGGAAUAUAUAGGGAUUUAAUUUCAUUUUGUUACAUGAGGAUUUCUAGUUUUCCCAGCACUCUUUGUUGAAGAGGCUGUCUUUUCUCAAUUUUUGGCACCUUUAUCUAGUAUGAGAUAACUGUAUUUAUGUGGAUUAGUCCCCGUGUCUUCUAUUCUAUACCAUUGGUUUAUGUGUCUGUCUUGGUCCCAGUACCAUGUCAUUUUUGUCACUGUGGCUCUGUAGUAUAGUUUAAGUUCUGGUAUUACCGUGCCUUUUGCCUCACUGUACUUGCUAAGGAUUGCUUUGGCUCUUCUGGGUCUCUUAUUUUUCCAAAUUAAUUUCAUGUUGCUUUUUCUAGUUCUAUGAAAAAUAUCAUUGGGAUUUUAAGAGGAAUUGCAUUAAAUCUGUAUAAUGCUUUUGGUAGUAUGACAAUUCGCCUAUACAAGUGCAUGGAAGAUCUUUCCCUUUUUUUUGAGGCUAUUGUGAAUGGGGUAGUUUUCCUAAUUUCUCUUUCAGAGGAUUCAUCACUGAUGUACAGAAAUGCAUUUGAUUUAUGGGUGUUGAUUUUAUAUCCUGCUAUUUUGCUGAAUUCAUUUAUUGUUUAUAGUUCUAGAAAUUUUCUGGUGGAAUUUUUUGGAUCUUCUAAAUAUAGAAUCAUGUCAUCAGCAAAUAAUGAUAGUUCAAAUCCUUUUUUUUUCUAUUUGUAUCCCUUUAAUUUCUUUCUUCUAAUUGCUCUGGCUAGAGAUUCCAGGACUAUGUGUAUUUUAAGUGGUGAAAGAGGGCAUCCCUGUCUUGUUCCAGUUUUUAGAAGGAAUGCUUUUAAUUAUUCUCCAUGUAGAAUGAUGAUGGCCUUGUGGUUAGCAUAGAUAGCUUUCUACAAUGUUGAGGUAUUCCUACUAUCCCUAGUUUUUCCUAGUGAUUUGAACAUGAAGACGUACUGCGUUUUGUCAAAUGCUUUUUGUGCAUCUAUUAAGAUAUCAUAUGAUUCUUG